AACUUUCAACAACGGAUCUCUUGGCUCUCGCAUCGAUGAAGAACGCAGCGAAAUGCGAUAAGUAAUGUGAAUUGCAGAAUUCAGUGAAUCAUCGAAUCUUUGAACGCACCUUGCGCCCUUUGGUAUCCCGAAGGGUACACCCGUUUGAGUGUCAUUG
This 157-nucleotide ribosomal RNA is filed under the name Sebacinales sp. B KN-2014. Its description in RNAcentral is "5.8S ribosomal RNA". It matches the Rfam family "5.8S ribosomal RNA". Rfam says of the family: 5.8S ribosomal RNA (5.8S rRNA) is a component of the large subunit of the eukaryotic ribosome. It is transcribed by RNA polymerase I as part of the 45S precursor that also contains 18S and 28S rRNA. Functionally, it is thought that 5.8S rRNA may be involved in ribosome translocation. The record is from RNAcentral. Lineage: Eukaryota; Fungi; Basidiomycota; Agaricomycetes; Sebacinales.